This 3768-nucleotide long non-coding RNA is filed under the name Sus scrofa (pig). Its description in RNAcentral is "lncRNA (ENSSSCG00065018115.1)". The record is from RNAcentral. Lineage: Eukaryota; Metazoa; Chordata; Mammalia; Artiodactyla; Suidae.
CUCAUAAAAUGCUUGUGGCUUGGUUAAGCUACAUGGCCACUAUGACUGUUUAUAAAGUCCUCGGGGCACUUGUGUUUUGAUCAAGACAAAAGAAAAUACAAAAUAUGUAUUAGGUUUCUAUUGCUGAAUGACAAAUUACUCCAACACUUAGUAUCUUAACUCUUUGUUAUCUCACAUCAUGUCCAAGGAAACAGCUUAGUUCAGGGAAUCUCUCGAGGUUACUGUCAAGAUGUCACUUCGAGCUGCAGUCAUUUGAAGGCUUGACUGGGAUGAAGAAUCUGCCUCCAAAUUCACUUACAUAUCUGUUGGCAGGAGGUUUCAGUUGUUCAAUACCCGAGCUAAUGACAUGACAGCUGGCUUUCCUCCAAGUGAAUGAUCUGAGAGGGAGAGAAACCAAGAGGGAAGCUGCGACCAACCUUGAUACAAAGUGUGAGGGAACUCCAUGGGGUGUAGGUACCAGGAGGCAAAGGGAUCAUAGCAGCUCACUUUGGAGGCCGGCUACCUCAAUGUGCUUUUAAGUGUUUCCAUUUGGUGCUAUCAGUUAAAACCAUUAAUUAAAAGAAGUUUUGUAUCUCCUCCAAAUCUCUCUUGUCUUACCUAUAGAAUGAGAAUAACACUUAUACAGCACCUGCCUACCUCAUACAGUCAGAUGAGCGGAGCUGCAAGCAUGCAAGUUAAAGGCGAAACAAGGUAAAGAACAGUAGCAUCACAAUAGCGCUGCCAUCUUGGGGUAAAAGCAAGCUGUUGAUGGCAGAAAGCCACGGUCAUCUAGUGAAGACUGCUCAUCUAGUGAAACUUCAAGGAGUGCAUGAAAGCCAGGAAUUUCAAUAGGGCAGAGGUUUGUGGAAGAUGCAGUUAUGGUGGAAUCUGUAGCAGAUCACGAUCAGGCUGUGUGCAGCAGAAAAGAAAAAACUGGGGAUCCAAUGACCUCUCCAUAUAGCAGUGUGAGGCCAAGGGGGCCCAUCCACAGAGCCAGACCUGGAUGAUGGUUUAAAAGCCUAAGCCAUCAAACAUAAGUAAUCUCCAGUUGUACUUCAAAGAGUUCCAGGAAGCUGCCGUGCCAUUGUAUACCAUCCCCUGCUUCUCAAAAACAGUGCGCAUAGGGUCCCCUGGCAGGAUUGUUACAGUGUGGAUUCUGAGUCAAUAGAUCUGCAGUGGGCUGGAGAUUCUUCAUUUCUAGCAAAUGCUCAGGUUAUGUCACUGCUACUGGCCUGCAGAUCAAAUUGAGGAGCCAGGUUAUAUACCCGUUGAUACUAGGAUCAGUCGGGACAUUGCUAUAGGGUCUAGAGGCCAGGAGCCACCUGGGAACAUCACUUAAAGUUUCAGGAUUGUUUCUCUUCACCCUGGCUGCCAGCUACCCCUCAGCUAAUAUGCUGGAUAAACAAACCCAUGUAGAUGAGAAACCAAUUCUUCAAUCUUUAUAAAACAGGUUUUGAAAAGUAGAAAAAAGUCAAAAGACUAAUCCUAUACAAAUAAAAUCUGGUUUCAGAAUAAAAUGCUUCCUCAUACAGGGUAAAUAGCUCCUUCAAGGCUAAAUGGUUCCCUAAAUUGAACUUCCUUUUUUUAAUCUCGCAUGUCCCUUCUGUCAUUGAAACUGCUUUGCCUCAAGGGAGUAUUUGAUUUCUUAAAAGUGCGUCACAUUUUAUGAUUCUUGAUUCAAUCUGCAGUUAAGCUAAAUGCUUAAAAGUGCCAUAAAUAUUUAAGUAAGACCCUCCAAUUUCGUAUGUACACAGAAGUCAAGUAUUUGAGUUGUUAAUAGUAAUCAAUUCUGGGUAGGUACGAUGAUGACAGAAAAUCAAAUCUUUUUUGAAUACUUCUAUGCAUUCUGAAUUCUCUAUGAGUGUGGUAUUUUCAUAUAAACAACCACAUAGUUACUGUAUAUGCAACUAAUUCUUCUGUUCAAUCCACACAGCCAUCCUCAGACUGUAUCACCUCCUGAGGUUCAGAAAUUUAAGCAUUAUUGUUUAAUUUCUACCAUGCGUCAGACACUGUAUUAGGAACUGAAAGUAUGUAUGUGUAUGCACACACACACACACACACACACACACACAGUCCCUAUUCUCAAAGAAUGUCUAGUUCAGUCAGUGCUGUAAGUCUCAGGGGGUAGGGAAAACACAAGACAAUUCUGAUAUUAUUCCAGCAACCAAGGGAAAUCUUGAAGAAAGAAUCCGAGUUUGCUAACCAGAAAAGCAAGGAGAGGACACUCCAGGCUGAAGGAAGGGCAUAAAGACACCUUCACUGACUAAUUUUUCAGCAAGUCUGAUUUUAAAGCACAUUAGCCUCAUUAACUGGUUAGUCCAUGUCGAAUCUCUAAGAGUUCUCUCUGUGAACAGUAAAUUUGGUUGAUUAGACUUUGAUGUUAAUGAGAGCCUCGUGCUAAUUUGAUGGCUUGCCAAAAGAAUGUGCACAGAGAAACCAGGAUGAAGAACCCUAAAAGACUAUAAUCCCAGCCCAUAAGGGCAUUCUGAGACAGGCAGUCCCAGGAAUUUACUUCCCACUGCUCUUUAUUUCCCAAAGAGCCGGGUUUUUGAGGACGUCUUUAGGAAAGCCAUUUUUCCAGCAGCCUCCCCAUCCGCAAACAUGCACAGGCACACAGUCUCCCCAUCACCACUAACAGCACCCAACGUAUGCACAGGACACUUAACUUCAUGGAAACCAGUAGGAAGAAAAUAAACUAGGCAACACAAACUAACUCCACUCCCAAAGGGGAAAAAACAACUCAAAAUUAUGCCCCUUGAAAUAUCAGUAGAGUAGCCUUGGUUAUCCCUUCAAUUAUUCAUGCAUUUAACACCUACCAGGUGCAGGUGCUAAGGACUUAAAGCUGACUGAGAUAUGGUAUUCUCCUUCAGGAAGCUGCAAAUCAGACCCUGGCACAGUAAGUGCUGUGACAGAUAAAUGGAGAUGGACAAUGUGUUAGGGGCACAGGUGGAGAGCCUCUAAGUCAGCCUGUGAGGAGUUGUCCUGGAAGGUCGCCUAGUUUCCUGGGAAACUGCAGAGGACCACAAAUUUCUCAGUAUGGCUAGAGCCAGGGGUGAGUGUGCAGGGGUGGUGGACAAUAAAGCUGAAAAUAGAGAAAAAAAUGGGAUCACCAAAGCCUUAGAUACUAAAUGAAAGAGUUUGAAUUUUCCCCUUGAAAGCUGUGGGGAGCUAUUGAAGGAUUUUAAGCAAGGAAAUGGCAUAUGAUUAAAAAGAUCAAUAUCACAGCAGCAUGGACAGAUUGAAGGGAAAAGACACUGGGAACAGGAAAUGCAGUUAGGGGGCUACUGAAGGAUCCAGAGGUGUUUACUCAGGGCAGAUUAAGGGAGCUGUGUGAGCAAAGUGGAAGGGAAGACUUUAAGAGAUAGUAAGGAACAAGAGCCUCACAACACAGAGUGUCACCAAAGAAAUCUACCCUGGCUCCAGGUUCUGAGGCACUUGGUGAAUAGAGAGAAAAAACACAUGGAAAGUGUUAAUCUCAGCAGUUUUCAGUUGGAGUGAAAAGAGGAAAGGCUCAUUCAUAGAGGAGACUGAAGAUGUAAGGCAGUUUGUUACUGAUGGGCCAUGAGUUCUGUAGGCCACAAUGGAAACUUCUGGAAGGUCAGGUGGGCAGCAUGGAGCAGGUGUAAAGAGAUGUAUAGCAGCUUGGAAAUAAGCUUUCAGGUAAAUACAGGUUAUCUGGAAGGCCUAAACAGGGUUGUGGGGUUGAUGUGGGCAAUCGCAGAUGUUUGAAAGAUAUGCUGUAUCUGUUUUAGCCAAACUUACUUGACCGUGAAGUGUUUUUUAAACUAU